GCUGGCGUAGCUCAAUUGGUAGAGCAGCUGACUUGUAAUCAGCAGGUUGCGGGUUCAAUUCCUGUCGCCAGCUCCA
RNAcentral lists this transfer RNA (76 nucleotides) under Desulfuromonas sp. RNAcentral describes it as "tRNA-Thr". It matches the Rfam family "tRNA". Rfam says of the family: Transfer RNA (tRNA) molecules are approximately 80 nucleotides in length. RNAcentral also lists the same sequence under 15 other names. The record is from RNAcentral. Lineage: Bacteria; Pseudomonadati; Thermodesulfobacteriota; Desulfuromonadia; Desulfuromonadales; Desulfuromonadaceae.